Oncorhynchus tshawytscha (Chinook salmon) is the source of this 1378-nucleotide long non-coding RNA. NCBI's taxonomy places the organism in Eukaryota, Metazoa, Chordata, Actinopteri, Salmoniformes, Salmonidae. The record is from Ensembl.
GGGCUAUGGGGUAGUGCUAUGGAGACGGGCUAUGGGGUAGUGCUAUGGAGACGGGCUAUGGGGUAGGGCUAUGGAGACGGGCUAUGGGGUAGGGCUAUGGGGCAGGGCUAUGGGGUAGGGCUAUGGGGCAGGGCUAUGGGGUAGGGCUAUGGACAUGGGCUAUGAAGAGGGCUAUGGGGCAGGGCUAUGGAGAAGGGCUAUGGGGUAGGGCUAUGGAGACAGGGCUAUGGGGUAGGGCUAUGGGGCAGGGCUAUGGGGUAGGGCUAUGGAGACGGGCUAUGGGGUAGGGCUAUGGAGAAGGGCUAUGGGUUGGGCUAUGGAGACGGGCUAUGGGGUAGGGCUAUGGGGCAGGGCUAUGGGGUAGGGCUAUGGGGCAGGGCUAUGGAGAAGGGCUAUGGGGUAGGGCUAUGGGGCAGGGCUAUUGGGCUAUUGGGCAGGGCUAUGGGGUAGGGCUAUGGAGACGGGCUAUGGGGCAGGGCUAUGGGGUAGGGCUAUGGGGCAGGGCUAUGGGGCAGGGCUACGGGGUAGAGCUAUGGGGUAGGGCUAUGGGACAGGGCUAUGAGGCAGGGCUACGGGGUAGGGCUAUGGGGCAGGGCUACGGGGUAGGGCUAUGGGGCAGGGCUACGGGGCAGGGCUACGGGGUAGGGCUAUGGGGUAGGGCUAUGGGGAAGGGCUAUGGGGCAGGGCUUUGGGGCAGGGCUAUGGAGACGGCCUAUGGGGCAGGGCUAUGUGGCAGGGCUAUGGGGUAGGGCUAUGGGGCAGGGCUAUGGGGAGGGCUAUGGGGUAGGGCUAUGGGGCAGGGCUAUGGGGCAGGGCUAUGGGGUAGGGCUAUGGGGUAGGGCUAUGGGGCAGGGCUAUGGGGUAUGGCUAUGGGGAAGGGCUAUGGGGUAGGGCUAUGGGGUAAGGUUAUGGGGCAGGGCUAUGGGGCAGGGCUAUGGAGAUGGGCUAUGGGGCAGGGCUAUGGGGCAGGGCUAUGGGGUAGGGCUAUGGGGCAGGGCUAUGGGGUAGGGCUAUGGGGCAGGGCUAUGGGGAGGGCUAUGGGGCAGGGCUAUGGGGCAGGGCUAUGGGGCAGGGCUAUGGGGUAGGGCUAUGGGGCAGGGCUAUGGGGCAGGGCUAUGGGGUAGGGCUAUGGGGGGGCUAUGGGGAGGGCUAUGGGGUAGGGCUAUGGGGUAGGGCUAUGGGGAGGGCUAUGGGGCAGGAUGAGAGGAGAAUAAAUUCCCUUGGCCCAAUUCUCUUUGGCGCUCAGCUGAUAUGUUUUUAUUGACUCUCUCUCUGUCGGACAUUCUGCUGGCCCUGAACUGAGAUCUGGUAUUUGACUUACACUGUUUAAUUAAUGAAAGGGAUAAAACAUGUUAAGGUUUCAGCUAGGAGCAGGGAG